Molecule: long non-coding RNA, 201 nt
Organism: Lagopus muta (rock ptarmigan)
Lineage: Eukaryota; Metazoa; Chordata; Aves; Galliformes; Phasianidae
Exons: 3
Source: RefSeq, a predicted model, not a curated record
CUCUGCCUCACACCUCAAGUGUCAUGAAGCGUGUUGGCUUUAUUUAAAGACUAUCUGGAACUUCUGCCAAUGCCACUCUCAGGUCAGUGCCCCGGGCUGUCUGGGAUAGGUAUAAAAGAGCUGAGCACUUUGCAGUCCUCUAUCCAGCUUCUUCCACUUGACUCCCUUCAGCUCCUGGGACUCCUUGUCUGUGUGGAAGAU